Phoenix dactylifera (date palm) is the source of this 1065-nucleotide non-coding RNA. The record is from RefSeq and is a predicted model, not a curated record. Lineage: Eukaryota; Viridiplantae; Streptophyta; Magnoliopsida; Arecales; Arecaceae.
AUACUCCAUUUUAUUUAUUCCGAAAAGUUCAGGAAUAGAUAUGUACGGAAUAGAAAAAUUCCACCCACCCAAGUAAAGAACUGUUACAAAUAAUGAAGAAAGUAAUAGAUUUAGGUAAGAAGCAAUAUAAAAUAAACCAAAUUUGAUACCUGAAUAUUCGGUUUGAUAACCUGCUACUAAUUCCUCCUCUGCUUCCGGUAAAUCAAAUGGCAAUCUCUCACAUUCGGCUAGAGAAGAAAUUAGAAAAACAAUAAACCCUAUAGGUUGACGCCACAGAUUCCACCCCCAAAAACCAUAUUUGGACCAUCACAAACUUUAAUUACUAUUCCUCUGUCCAAUUACUAGCUUUUAGGAUGUCAUCUGUAAUUUGUUCUUGUAUGCAGAAGCAUUCUUCUUGGUGUAUAAUUUUAGAGGUCAUGUUAAAGGAGAUGCAGCUGAAAGAUUCUGUUUUUGUUAUCAACAGCACAUACAAUCUUUCAGAAAGGCAGUGGAGUAGGACCCCACUACCAUCUAGGAUGUGAUACACCUCUAAAUCCCCCUUUGCUUAGUACACUACUACAUGUGUAGGAAAAUGAGAUGUCCAAUAGGCAUGGUGGAUCUUCGAAGCACCCAGACUAGCUGGAAGUCGACGGGCUAUGAAAGCUUCAAGAGAGGAGAUGAUGUCCCAAGUAUCUGAGCUGGGGAUGAGCAAUGGAGGAAGCUUUCUUGAUCCCAGGAAAUUUUCAGGAAUUGUCAAUGAAGAUGCCCUCUUCAACCUAUAGUUUGUUCGAGAUGUGACAUCAACUUUCAUUAGCUCUUCGAAUAAAGUCUUAUCAAACGCAUCCCUAUAAUCGUGGAAUCAUUUGGGGCUUUAGUGUGCCUAUUAUUUUCAAAGCAUCAAUGAAGUUUAUCUUAGGGACCACUUGGCUUUAGACUGAUGUCAAAGCAUGGAGUGAUUUUGAAAAUGAACAGAAAAACAGCAAUGCUAACUUACAUAUACAUUUUUGGAUGAAUCACCUCCAUAGAUUUAUGCUAUAUCAUUGGGCAAUCUCAAGGUAAAUAAUAAAUUCUUGUUGGCUAAACAUU